GAUGAAGAACGUAGCGAAAUGCGAUACUUGGUGUGAAUUGCAGAAUCCCGUGAACCAUCGAGUCUUUGAACGCAAGUUGCGCCCGAAGCCAUUAGGCCGAGGGCACGCCUGCCUGGGCGUCACACGUCGUUGCCCCCCCAUCUACUCCUUCGGGAUUGCGGGGGGCGGAUGAUGGCCUCUCGUGCGCCUCGUCGCGCGGUUGGCCUAAAUGCCAAGUCCUCGGCGACGCACGCCACGACAAUCGGUGGUUGCGAAACCUCGGUUGCCUGUCGUGUGCGGUCGUCGCGCAUCGAGGGCUCGAAAAAAUUGCCGGGCUUCGGCUCGACUUUCAACGCGACCCCAGGUCAGGCGGGGUUACCCGCUGAAUUUAAGCGUAUCAAUAAGCGGAGA
Molecule: unclassified non-coding RNA, 390 nt
Filed under: soil metagenome
Description: partial contains 5.8S ribosomal RNA, internal transcribed spacer 2, and large subunit ribosomal RNA
Rfam family: 5.8S ribosomal RNA (bases 1-122)
Source: RNAcentral